RNAcentral lists this ribosomal RNA (440 nucleotides) under uncultured bacterium. Its description in RNAcentral is "partial 16S ribosomal RNA". It matches the Rfam family "Bacterial small subunit ribosomal RNA", at positions 338 to 795 of the family's 1533-position model. The record is from RNAcentral.
CCUACGGGAGGCAGCAGUAGGGAAUAUUGCUCAAUGGGGGAAACCCUGAAGCAGCAACGCCGCGUGGAGGAUGAAGGUUUUCGGAUUGUAAACUCCUUUUGUUAGAGAAGAUAAUGACGGUAUCUAACGAAUAAGCACCGGCUAACUCCGUGCCAGCAGCCGCGGUAAUACGGAGGGUGCAAGCGUUACUCGGAAUCACUGGGCGUAAAGGGCGCGUAGGCGGGAUAGCAAGUCAGAUGUGAAAUCCUAUGGCUUAACCAUAGAAUUGCAUUUGAAACUGUUAUUCUAGAGUAUGGGAGAGGUAGGUGGAAUUCUUGGUGUAGGGGUAAAAUCCGUAGAGAUCAAGAGGAAUACUCAUUGCGAAGGCGACCUGCUAGAACAUAACUGACGCUGAUGCGCGAAAGCGUGGGGAGCAAACAGGAUUAGAUACCCGAGUAGUC